GGACGAAAGUAGUGGCGGACGGGUGAGUAACACGUGAGCACCUGCCUUUCAGAGGGGGAUAACAGCCGGAAACGGCUGCUAAUACCGCAUAAUGGCACAUGCCCAAAGGCAAUCCGCUGAAAGAUGGGCUCGCGUCCGAUUAGCCAGUUGGCGGGGUAACGGCCCACCAAAGCGACGAUCGGUAGCCGGACUGAGAGGUUGAACGGCCACAUUGGGACUGAGACACGGCCCAGACUCCUACGGGAGGCAGCAGUGGGGGAUAUUGCACAAUGGGCGAAAGCCUGAUGCAGCGACGCCGCGUGAGGGAAGACGGUCUUCGGAUUGUAAACCUCUGUCUUUGGGGAAGAAAAUGACGGUACCCAAAGAGGAAGCUCCGGCUAACUACGUGCCAGCAGCCGCGGUAAUACGUAGGGAGCAAGCGUUGUCCGGAAUUACUGGGUGUAAAGGGAGCGUAGGCGGGAUGGCAAGUAGAAUGUUAAAUCCAUCGGCUCAACCGGUGGCUGCGUUCUAAACUGCCGUUCUUGAGUGAAGUAGAGGCAGGCGGAAUUCCUAGUGUAGCGGUGAAAUGCGUAGAUAUUAGGAGGAACACCAAUGGCGA
RNAcentral lists this ribosomal RNA (598 nucleotides) under uncultured bacterium. Its description in RNAcentral is "bacterial SSU rRNA". It matches the Rfam family "Bacterial small subunit ribosomal RNA", at positions 84 to 718 of the family's 1533-position model. The record is from RNAcentral.